UAAAAACCGAAUCUAUCCGGCAACGAACUAUUAUUCUUUUGGAGGUCAUUCUCUAUCGUUUCCGAGGAGGAAAUCGGGCAUUCCGUGCUGUAUCUGAUUUACUCUAACAAAUUCGGCAAUAUAAAAUUGUAUUCAAUUUAAACAUUGGUCCAGAAGCGAGCCUAAUUAUUAGCGAAAUAUAGUAUUUUAUAUAAAUAUAAAAAUAUUCGUAAAAUUCUAUAUAUUAUUAUGACGUAUAUGACGGGUUGUCC
Cinara cedri is the source of this 251-nucleotide non-coding RNA. Lineage: Eukaryota; Metazoa; Arthropoda; Insecta; Hemiptera; Aphididae. The record is from the annotation of a GenBank genome assembly.